GUCUAUAUAGUUUAAUAAAACAUUGGUCUUGUAAGCCAAAGACCGAAGAAUAAAAUUCUUCUAUAGACU
RNAcentral lists this transfer RNA (69 nucleotides) under Amphiuma means (two-toed amphiuma). RNAcentral's name for it is "tRNA-Thr". It matches the Rfam family "tRNA". Rfam says of the family: Transfer RNA (tRNA) molecules are approximately 80 nucleotides in length. Their secondary structure includes four short double-helical elements and three loops (D, anti-codon, and T loops). Lineage: Eukaryota; Metazoa; Chordata; Amphibia; Caudata; Amphiumidae. The record is from RNAcentral.